This 204-nucleotide ribosomal RNA is filed under the name uncultured Helotiaceae. RNAcentral's name for it is "partial large subunit ribosomal RNA". It matches the Rfam family "Eukaryotic large subunit ribosomal RNA", at positions 40 to 247 of the family's 3401-position model. The record is from RNAcentral. Lineage: Eukaryota; Fungi; Ascomycota; Leotiomycetes; Helotiales; Helotiaceae.
AUAUCAAUAAGCGGAGGAAAAGAAACCAACAGGGAUUACCUCAGUAACGGCGAGUGAAGCGGUAACAGCUCAAAUUUGAAAUCUGCCUACAGGCCGAGUUGUAAUUUGUAGAAGAUGCUUCGGGUGUGGCACUCGGUCUAAGUUCCUUGGAACAGGACGUCAUAGAGGGUGAGAAUCCCGUAGUGAUGGUCGCCUUUCCGCCGA